AGCAUUGAGGCAGUCAAAGUAGGCAAAUCCGCUUUGAUAAUGCUGGGAUGUGAUGGGGAGCGAAAUUUAGUAGCGAAGUAGCUGAUUUCACACUGUCAAGAAAAGUCUCUAUCGAGGUUAAAGGUACCCGUACCGCAAACCGACACAGGUGGGUGAGGAGAGUAUCCUAAGGCCAGCGAGAGAACUGUUGUUAAGGAACUCGGCAAAAUGACCCCGUAACUUAGGGAUAAGGGGUGCCACCAUCAGGUGGCCGCAGAGAAUAGGCCCAAGCGACUGUUUACCAAAAACAUAGGUUUCUGCUAAGUCGCAAGACGAUGUAUAGGAGCUGACGCCUGCCCGGUGCUGGAAGGUUAAGGGGAUCUGUUAGAGCAAUCGAAGCAGUGAACUUAAGCCCCAGUAAACGGCGGCCGUAACUAUAACGGUCCUAAGGUAGCGAAAUUCCUUGUCGGGUAAGUUCCGACCCGCACGAAAGGCGUAACGAUUUGGGCACUGUCUCAACAACAGACUCGGUGAAAUUGUAAUUCCGGUGAAGAUGCCGGAUACCUGCGACAGGACGGAAAGACCCCAUGGAGCUUUACUGUAGCUUGACAUUGGGUCUUGGUACUACAUGUACAGGAUAGGUGGGAGGCUUUGAAACCAGGACGCCAGUUUUGGCGGAGCCAUCCUUGGGAUACCACCCUUGUAGUACUGGGACUCUAACCAUAGGCCAUGAAUCUGGUCUUGGGACACUGUCAGGUGGGCAGUUUGACUGGGGCGGUCGCCUCCCAAAAGGUAACGGAGGCGCUCAAAGGUUCUCUCAGUACGGUCGGAAAUCGUACGUAGAGUGUAAAGGCAAAAGAGAGCUUGAUUGCAAGACAUACAGGUCGAGCAAGGAUGAAAAUCGGACUUAGUGAUCCGGUGGUUCUGCGUGGAAGGGCCAUCGCUCAACGGAUAAAAGCUACCCUGGGGAUAACAGGCUUAUCUCCCCCAAGAGUCCACAUCGACGGGGAGGUUUGGCACCUCGAUGUCGGCUCAUCACAUCCUGGGGCUGCAGUAGGUCCCAAGGGUUGGGCUGUUCGCCCAUUAAAGUGGUACGCGAGCUGGGUUCAGAACGUCGUGAGACAGUUCGGUCCCUAUCCGUCGCAGGCGUAGGAAAUUUGAGAAGACCUGUCCUUAGUACGAGAGGACCGGGAUGGACGUACCUCUGGUGUACCAGUUGUCCUGCCAAGGGCAUGGCUGGGUAGCUAUGUACGGAAUGGAUAAGCGCUGAAAGCAUCUAAGCGCGAAGCCAACUUCAAGAUAAGAUUUCCCACCGCAAGGGUAAGACCCCAGAAAGACUAUCUGGUUGAUAGGUCGAAGGUGUAAGUGCAGCAAUGUAUUUAGCUUAUCGAUACUAAUAGGUCGAGGACUUGACCAA
RNAcentral lists this ribosomal RNA (1396 nucleotides) under Clostridioides difficile DA00129. RNAcentral's name for it is "bacterial LSU rRNA". It matches the Rfam family "Bacterial large subunit ribosomal RNA", at positions 1515 to 2925 of the family's 2925-position model. The record is from RNAcentral. Lineage: Bacteria; Bacillati; Bacillota; Clostridia; Peptostreptococcales; Peptostreptococcaceae.